GGUGUUGCUGGUUUAUUGGAUAUCUAUAUUGUAGCUGCCAAAGGAUAUCAUAAAAUAGAUUGACCAAUUGUGUCUGCCUUUCUCUAGAAUAGCUCCAUCGGCAGAGGCAGAGUAAAGUAUCUGGUUAAUUGGUCAUGUAUAUGCCGACGAAAAAUGUUCGGAGGCUUGGGCAUCAUUGAUCUGUUUUUGUUCAACAAAGCUUUGUUACUCAAAUGGUGUUUCAGAUUCUUCAACGAUGACGUGCAGCCUUGGUGUAUCCUGAUUCAGAACAUAUACUACGACAAGAGAGCACCAGC
This 296-nucleotide long non-coding RNA is filed under the name Elaeis guineensis (African oil palm). Its description in RNAcentral is "long non-coding RNA (EGUI_LNC008449)". Lineage: Eukaryota; Viridiplantae; Streptophyta; Magnoliopsida; Arecales; Arecaceae. The record is from RNAcentral.